RNAcentral lists this ribosomal RNA (406 nucleotides) under uncultured bacterium. RNAcentral's name for it is "bacterial SSU rRNA". It matches the Rfam family "Bacterial small subunit ribosomal RNA", at positions 355 to 775 of the family's 1533-position model. The record is from RNAcentral.
UGGGGUAUAUUGAGCAAUGGGCGCAAGCCUGACCCAGCAACGCCGCGUGAGGGAAGAAGGCCUUCGGGUUGUAAACCUCUGUCCUUGGUGACGAAACAAAUGACGGUAGCCAAGGAGGAAGCCCCGGCUAACUACGUGCCAGCAGCCGCGGUAAUACGUAGGGGGCGAGCGUUGUCCGGAAUUACUGGGCGUAAAGGGUGCGUAGGUGGCCUUUUAAGUUGGAUGUGAAAUACCCGGGCUUAACUUGGGGGGUGCAUCUAAUACUGGGAGGCUAGAGUGCAGGAGAGGGAAGCGGAAUUCCUAGUGUAGCGGUGAAAUGCGUAGAUAUUAGGAGGAACACCAGUGGCGAAGGCGGCUUUCUGGACUGUAACUGACACUGAGGCACGAAAGCGUGGGGAGCAAACAG